Panicum virgatum (switchgrass) is the source of this 4258-nucleotide RNA transcript. RefSeq lists it as uncharacterized. Lineage: Eukaryota; Viridiplantae; Streptophyta; Magnoliopsida; Poales; Poaceae. The record is from RefSeq and is a predicted model, not a curated record. The transcript has 5 exons.
GUUCGGCUAGGCACCGACUAGGCGGCGGCUAGGCGCGCCUAAUCGCUAGUCGAUGGGGUGCCGCGUAGCCUAGGGGGUUAGGCGUGGUCUAGGCGGCCGCGGCGCCUAGGCGUCGACCAGCAGCGCCUCGGCGGCGAUUCGGCGGCGAGCAGGCGCUCAAGGCGGCGCUUAGUCGGGCGGGCUGCUGCGCGCGCAAUUUUUUUUCGGCCGCGCGGGAAGAUUACCUCGGUCCCGGUCGAUUGCCGCUCGCAGACCCUGCUCCCGCUCGCAGACGCGCGCCGAAGGGGAGCUUCGCCCGCCGGCGUUGCUCCUCCCCGCCAGCGCUGCUCCUCCCCCGCCGGCGUUGGUCGUCCUUGCGUGGCCUCGCUCCUCCAAGCCGGCGCUGCUCCUCCCCCGCCUGGAUCUCCUCCCCGCCGGCGCUGCCCGUCCUCGGCUCCUCGCCUGGAAGCUCCUCCCCGCCGGUGCUGCUCGCCUGCAGUCCUCCAAGGAUGUCAUCAGAAACUGCAGCUGCACCUUCUGAAACUGAAGCAGCUAGAGCGAAUCUCCUAAAAAGAAAUUCAGAUGAUGUUGGAUGGGAAUAUGGUGUUCUUGUUGAUCCUAACAACAAAGACAAGGUGAAGUGUAGGUUCUGUGACAAGGAGAUGAGGGGAGGGAUUUAUAGGUUGAAGGAGCAUCUUGCCCAUGUUGGAAAGAAUGUGAAGAAAUGCACGUCUACAACACCGCAGGCUCUAGAGGCUAAAGAGAAGUGCAAGAAAGCAAUAGAGGCUGCAAAAAGGAAGAGGGAGGAGAAGACUGUUUGUGAGCUAGAACUUAGAGAGGAAGUGAAUGUAUCUAGGGUUGGAGAGGAGUCAGAAGAAGUCACUUGUGUUGGAAGCUCACAGCCUCACAAAUUAGGGCCAAUUGACAAAUGGACACGUGCUAUUGAUCCUAUCAAGGCUGAUUCUUUCAAACAACAGCAGCUGAACAAGGAACCGUGAAAGAGAGCAUGAGGUGUACAAGUUUAUUGCAAGAUGGGCCUAUAAUCAUGCAAUAUCUUUCAAUGCAUGUGACAAUGAUGAGUUCAAGUAAAUGUGUGAAGCAAUUGGACAAUUUGGACCAGGACUUACACCUCCAACUCAAGAUGUCUUUCGAGGUAGUUUGCUGGAAGAAGAAUAUGCAAGAACCAAGAGUUUGCUGCAGGAACGUGAAGCCAAGAAGAUGAAAAAUGGGUGCUCUAUUAUGACCGAUGCUUGGUCAGAUAGGAAGAGGAGAAGCAUAAUGAAUAUAUGCACUAAUUGUGCUGAUGGAACCUCCUUCAUCAGCUCAAAAGAGAUGUCAGAUGUGUCACACAAGUGAAGUCAUUUUUGAAUUAGUGGACAAAGCAAUUGAAGACAUUGGUGAAGAAAAUGUGGUGCAAGUAGUCACUGACAAUGCCUCUAACAACAUGGGAGCAAAGAAGCUAUUGCUUGUGAAGAGACCACAAAAAUUUUGGACCUCUUGUGCAGCUCACACAAUCAACUUGAUGCUCCAAGGAAUUGGCAACUUGCCUCAGUUCAAGAAAGUGAUUGACCAAGCAAAGUCAUUUACCAUAUUUGUGUAUGGCCACACAAGAACAUUGGAGUGCUUGAGAUACUUCAAAGAUUGGAAAGAGCUAGUGAGGCCAGGAGUGACUAGGUUUGCUUCAUACUUUCUCACUUUGAACAGUAUGCAAGAGAAGAAGGACCAGUUAAAGAAGAUGGUGGUUCAUAGUAGGUGAGACUCAUUAAAGGAUGUGAAAUCAAAGAAAGGAAAAGAGGCCACAGCUACUAUAUUGAGUCCAGCCUUUUGGAAGGAUAUGAAGCUAAUGUUGGGUUUUUUUGAGCCAUUGGCCAAAGUCCUCCGUUUGGUUGAUGGGGAUGUGAAGCCAUCCAUGGGUUUCCUUUAUGGAGAGCUACUAAAGGCAAAGAGAGAGGUCAAAGAAGCCUUUGGCAAUGUUGAGUCUCGAUUCAAAGAUGUUAUGGCUGUUAUUGAGAAGAAGAUGAAUGGAAGACUUGAUUCUCCAUUGCAUUUGACAGCUUUUUUGCUGAAUCCACACUAUAGUUAUGCUAACCCAUCAAUCUUUGAUGAGCCCAAAAUGAAUGAAGCCUUCAUAUCUUGUGUUGAGCAAUUUUAUUAUCAUGAUGAGGAGAAACAAGAACAGGCUGCCAACUUUGAAUUGAAAAAGUUUCAGAAUAGAGAAGGACCAUUUAGCAAGAAGCUUGCAAGAACUUUUCAAAACUAUGAUUACAAUCCAGCAUCAUGGUGGCGGUUAUAUGGAACUGAAACACCAACUUUACAGAAGAUGGCUACAAGGAUAUUAUCUUUGACAUCAAGCUCUUCUGGUUGUGAAAGAAAUUGGAGUGGGUUUGAAGGGAUACACACUAAGAAGAGAAAUAGGCUGAACCGCCUCAACAAGUUGGUCUAUAUUUAGUUCAACAACAGGCUGAUGAAUAAGAGAGAAAAGAUUAAGUCAAAGAAAAUCACUGAUGUUCUCUUGUCUAGUGAUACAACUGAAGCUCAAGGUUUUCUCCAAGAGGGUGGAGAUGAUUGUGCAUUAGUUGACUUUAGAGAUGGGGUGGAAGAUGAGAUGGAAGGCACAAGGAUACCUUGGUCUGUCAUUGGAGAGGCAGUGGGAGCAGAUGAACAGCUUGAGCUGUGUAGAAGUGCAAGAGUGAGGGAGCUCUAUGCAGAAGAAGAAUUUGAGUCUGAAGAAGAAGAGUAUGAAGAUGAAGAUCUGUGCUACAGUGAAGAUGAAAUAUGAUCUGGACCAUCUCCAUCUAGUAGUGAAGCCUUUUGUGAUGCCCUAGUCUUAUGAACUGCAGCUGUGUCACUUUGUGUCUGUGUGUCUUCUUUUGUGAUUUGUGAGACCUGAACUAAGAACUAUGUGCUUGUGCUGUCCUUUAUUUAUAAAUUGUGUUGUGCACUUGUAUUGCUGUCCUAUCCACUUGUAUUGUAAUUACCAGCUGCUGGUAUGGUGUGCUCAUGGAUGGGAGGCUGCUGAAAUCAUCCAGAUAAGUCACAACUUAGUGUUUUCUAUUUUUUUUAUGAACAGCUAGCUGUCUAUUGACUAAUUUACUAACUACUAGCUGUCAAAAUGUGUUGCAGCCUUGCAGGAGCUGGGAACAUGCAAGAGUAAGGCAGCUAGGAAUCAGAUAUGUCUACUGCCCCUCUUUUUAUACUUACUAUGACUCAUAUAUAGUAGUUAUAUAUAUAUAUAUAGUUAUAUACAUAAUAUAUAUAAUUUAUGGCUAUAUUGCCAAAACGCCUAGAAAAACGCUUAGCGCCGCCUAGGGCCGAGUACUCCCGACUAGGCGCUAGGCAGUGGGUCAGCGCCUAGAUUCCGCCUAGCGCCUAGCUGAACUUUGUCUAGAGCUAUAUCCAACCAAAAAUUAUGUUCUAUACCAAUCUGUAAAUCUUGGCAAAAAAUCUACAACUUUGGUAGCACUGAUAGAACAGUUUCAGCCAUUAAGGUUUCUUGUGGUGGAACUUACUCAUCCGGGUUCGAGUCCUAAACUCAGCACGAGUGUUUAUAUUUUUCUAGAUCUAUUUUAGGAUUUAACUAGUACUAUUCUUUCAAUGGUAAGCGAUGUGCCUGCCGAAAGCGAGACAUCUAUAGUCGUCAAUCUUUUGGAUUUUCAAGAUCAGUCCUUUCCUCGUUCCAGUUUAUUCAUCCUCUCUUUAUAUUUUUAAUUUUUAAUUUCAUCUUUUGUGUUCUAAUCUUAUGCAAAUGUUCUUUGGAUUUAUAGUUCUUCUUUUCAAAAUUUAGAUUAUUCCAUCUCUAUUUUUAUAGUUUUUUCUUCCUAAUUUUUCUCUAUUCUUUUUCUUUACUAUUUUCUAUUUAUUUUCUUCCGACCUUUAACUUUUCUUUCUUUUUUUCCUUAUAUUAGUGAGUGAGUCAGUGUAGUUUUUUCUUCCUAAUUUCUCACUAUUCUUAUUCUUUACUACUGAUUUUCUAUUUAUUUCCUUCCGGAUUUCAGAUCUGAUUACUUCUUGUCUCCACGAGAAGACGAAUCUAAACAUGACGGAUACUCUAGCUAACCACUAGACUAAAAGGCUCUUUCGCUUUUUUUCCUUCUAAUUCUCUCUAUAUUUAUUAUCUUCAUUUACUCUUUCUUUCCAUUUUAUUUUCCCUUCUAAGCGUUAGGUUGAUAUUCUUAAUUUAUCUUUUUUUCAACAACAUUCCUCUUUCUAGUAUAUAAUUAGGUGAGUUUCUAUAUUGGCACAAUUUGUUUGUAUUGAAUAGUGAUUCGUGCACUGUGUA